AGUCUUUUGGGGUUUUAUUAAAGAUUAUUUCUGCUCGGUGUUGUUAAACAGCCGUGGUAAUUUGACCGUGCAAAGGUAGCAUAAUCAUUUGCUCUAUAAUUGAGGGCUGGAAUGAAUGGGGUAACAAAAACUAUACUGUCUUUAAUCUAUUUAUAGAAUUUAUAUUUGAUGUGAAGAUACAUUGAUUAAAAAAAAAGACAAGAAGACCCUUUUGAGCUUAAUUUUUUUUUUCUUUUUGUUAAUAGAGUAAUUUGGUUGGGGCGACCAAAGAAGAAUAAUAUUACUAUCUUCUUUAGUUUUUAUUGAUCCAUUUUUUUUGAUUUAUAGAAUAAGUUACCAAAGGGAUAACAGCGUAAUUUUUUUUUGGAGUUCUUAUUAAAAAUUAAGAUUGCGACCUCGAUGUUGACUUAUGGUUUCCUUUUGGUGCAGUAGCUAAUAUGGUAGGUCUGUUCGACCUUUAAUGCCUU
RNAcentral lists this ribosomal RNA (467 nucleotides) under Gononemertes sp. 6DS. RNAcentral's name for it is "partial 16S ribosomal RNA". It matches the Rfam family "Bacterial large subunit ribosomal RNA", at positions 1829 to 2597 of the family's 2925-position model. Lineage: Eukaryota; Metazoa; Nemertea; Enopla; Monostilifera; Prosorhochmidae. The record is from RNAcentral.